UCCCGGUGGGUCACAACAAAACUUUUCAAAAACUUUAAAAAAAACUUAAGAAAAAAAUUUUUGUCCAAAAUGUAGACAGUACAGACCCGAAAGAGUGAAAUUAAUUCAGACCUAUUUCGCGUAAUACCUACUUCUCUCCUUCCCUGCUCCCCGCCGCACAGCCUGCCCACUUGCACAGCCCUCUGACUCACCGUGUUACCAUCACCGACCCUUAGGUCCACCUUCGAGACCGGCUCACAGACAGUCCACCGUCACCAGCUCUGCGGCUCACCUCACCGCCCGCCCAGCCCGCCCACUCUGCGGCUCGCCGGCUCACUGGAAGUCCACCGUCACCGCGCUCAGCUCUGCGGCUCUGCGAUACCCACUCUGCGGCUCACCUUCUCACCUCACCAUUCACCGUUCUUCAACACUUCCGACCCUCACCAUUCACCAUUCUUCAAGGUGGUGAAUAGGUGAAAUCUCCAAAGUUCUGAAUAGAAAGAAGUACAUUCUGCAAAUUUUCUUUUACAGUUGAUAAACGGGUUUGAGAUGUCACCAAGAUUGAUUCACGAAAAAUGGAUAACCUCCAAGGAAAGCAUCAAAUAGAAGGUCCUGAGCCCACAGAGAGUCAUGCUUACACGGACCUCUAUCACUUUGAUAAAUAGAAAACCAUUAUAGGAAGAAAUUGUCAGUCUCAUUGUAGCUGCUUCAUUUUUUUUUUGCAAAAAAGGAUGCAGUAUUCAGACCAAUCGUAGGAGCCACACCAAAAGAACACCCGUAGGCGAGAUUUCUGUAGCUUUUACUGUGUUUCAUGAACAUGCUUGAAAAUCAUUUAGCUCUGCUAAAUAGAAUAUGUGACCGAAAUAUCAGGAGAUUUCAGAGUUUGAAGAUGCCCAAGAGUGUGCCUGAUAGCAUUGCGAAACAAGCGCAGACUUUGAUUUAUAUUAAAUGUCUUCAUGAACAGAAAAUUGUAGCUUUGUGCCUCAGGUUUGGUGGUUGUUUGAUUGUAUACUGCCUACGUUCUAUUUGUAAUCUUAAACUGUUCUACUCCCUUUUUUCUUGGUUAAGACACAAUUGAGAUGUUAGCUUGUUGAUAUGUGUUGUAUUGGAUAUGCUGUUAUUCAAAAACUGAAAGUAUAUGGUCUUUCAUUUCAGCAACCUAAUAGAUUUUCGCAAAACAUAACGUCUAUUUUGCAUAUUUCGGUAGUCGCUGUCUUAACUAAUUACUAUGUUCUAAUUGUCCAUUAUACAUUAUGUCAUUUGGUUUAUACAGGGUUCUCUUUAAUUUUGGGGUCAUUUGGUUUUAAGAAUUGAAAGUAUUACAGGAUAAAUCGGUGAUCACAUGCAUAUUGAACAAUGCUGUAACUGAGCGUAUCAUAGUUGAGGAAACUGUAUUAGUGGUGUAGAUGGAGCUGUCCUUUAAUUAUGCAUGUAUCUGAUGUAUCUGUUCAGUUUCAAGAGUCUUCAAAUGACUGAUAUAUGCCACGCAAGUGAUUAACCGUGUUUCAAGAGUCUACAACUAAUAAUACUUGGAACAAUUGUUCUCAUGUUUAGGAGUUAUCGGACUUGGCAAGCCAACAACAAAGGAUCUCGAAAGUCUCUAAGAUGGAAAGAAAUUAUCGUAAGAUUUAAUUAGUUUGAUUAUUAUUUUUAUCGUAAUUCAUUCAUAUAUAUGUUAUUCUUUAAUUUAAUGUGUAUUAUAUUUGUAUCUUAGUGUUCUCACGAACCGGAAAUGCUUGAAUGUGGCUAUUACGUCAUGAAGUACAUGUAUCAAAUAGUUUUACUUGGAUUACAAAGUAUUAGUAAUGUGGAAGAGGUACGUGUACAUGUAUGUUUGUUAUUAUUUUAUCUCGGUUGUUACUAUAUAUGCGCUAGCUUUUAUCUAAGCUUUACUAAUUAAUACAUUAUUUUGUUGAAGUACAUAUAUUUUCACCAAACCCGUACACUCAAGAGGAGAUCGAUGAUUUUGGAGAAAAAUGGAGUAGAUAUUUUAUUAGUAGUUGUUUGUAGUCAUUUUCUAGUUUUCAGAGAUAGAAAUUAAACUAUAACAAAUCGUAGGUUAUUUUUUGGAAUACAAUUAUUUACAAUUGUACGUUAAACCAACUUUCUUGUUUGAAUUAAUACAAAAAUAUUUUCGCAA
Molecule: long non-coding RNA, 2119 nt
Organism: Spinacia oleracea (spinach)
Lineage: Eukaryota; Viridiplantae; Streptophyta; Magnoliopsida; Caryophyllales; Amaranthaceae
Exons: 3
Source: RefSeq, a predicted model, not a curated record